Molecule: ribosomal RNA, 253 nt
Filed under: uncultured bacterium
Lineage: Bacteria
Description: partial 16S ribosomal RNA
Rfam family: Bacterial small subunit ribosomal RNA
Source: RNAcentral
UACGGGGGGGGCAAGCGUUGUUCGGAAUUACUGGGCGUAAAGGGCUCGUAGGUGGCCAACUAAGUCAGACGUGAAAUCCCCAGGCUUAACCUGGGAACUGCGUCUGAUACUGGAUGGCUUGAAUUCGGGAGAGGGAUGCAGAAUUCCAGGUGUAGCGGUGAAAUGCGUAGAUAUCUGGAGGAAUACCGGUGGCGAAGGCGGCAUCCUGGACCAUUACUGACGCUGAGGCGCGAAAGCUAGGGGAGCAAACGGG